This 408-nucleotide ribosomal RNA is filed under the name uncultured Bacteroidota bacterium. RNAcentral's name for it is "bacterial SSU rRNA". It matches the Rfam family "Bacterial small subunit ribosomal RNA", at positions 506 to 916 of the family's 1533-position model. The record is from RNAcentral. Lineage: Bacteria; Pseudomonadati; Bacteroidota.
UGUCAGCAGCCGCGGUAAUACGUAGGAUCCGAGCGUUGUCCGGAUUUAUUGGGUUUAAAGGGUGCGCAGGCGGCCCGAUAAGUCAGUGGUGAAAGCCGGCAGCUCAACUGUCGAAUUGCCAUUGAUACUGUUGGGCUUGAGUAUAGUUGAGGUUGGCGGAAUGUAUCAUGUAGCGGUGAAAUGCAUAGAUAUGAUACAGAACACCGAUUGCGAAGGCAGCUGACUAAGCUAUUACUGACGCUCAUGCACGAAAGCGUGGGGAUCAAACAGGAUUAGAUACCCUGGUAGUCCACGCCGUAAACGUUGAUAACUCGAUGUUGGCGAUAUAAUGUCAGCGUCUUAGCGAAAGCGUUAAGUUAUCCACCUGGGGAGUACGCCGGCAACGGUGAAACUCAAAGAAAUUGACGG